AUAUGUGGGAACUCCUUCAAGACUGUUGGAAAAGCUUUCCAGAGGGCCCAUUGCCCAGGCGAAGGCUGCAGCUGCUGGCCAGACUGGUCCUGGUGGGACAGACCUCGAGCACAACUCCUCUGACCAUCUGCUCAUACUGGCCCGCUUCCGCCUCUGCCCCUGAGACUGGAUGUCAAGGGUUAAGGGUCAGAGCCUCAAACAGACCUGGAGGUCAAAGAACUGGAGAGACCAGGGAAUUCACCCAUACCUCUAACCAGCAACCAAUAGCUUCUGUCUCUCAUAUUUUCAUAUCACCACAGAGAAAGGCUGUCAUUUGAAUGACAUUUAUUGAUGAUCUUGCAACUUGGCAGUGGCCUAUCUCUAGUGGAUAGAUAUAGGCUACUGCGUCGAGAUGUUUACACUUUUCCAAAUAUUUUUCAUCUUAUUUUACAUUGGUUGAAGAUAUUAUGAAAAGAGACAUUUUUAUAUUUGAAUGGUUUUAAUAAAUGUUGACAUGAAUUCAUUUGAAAAUGUGCUGCUGAUAAGGAAUAGCACUGAGAAAUCUACAUGUUUUAUUCAUUAUGUCAUUAUGCACAUGAGCACAUACUAUUUGGUUUGAUAAUAUUGGUAUUGAAAAUGAAGGCUAUUAUGUUACAGCUAUUGUACCUUAUUUAGCACAAUAAAAUACCUGCAAUUAAAGACACCC
Long non-coding RNA from Salvelinus namaycush (lake trout), 685 nucleotides. RefSeq lists it as uncharacterized. Lineage: Eukaryota; Metazoa; Chordata; Actinopteri; Salmoniformes; Salmonidae. The transcript has 2 exons. The record is from RefSeq and is a predicted model, not a curated record.